RNAcentral lists this ribosomal RNA (414 nucleotides) under uncultured bacterium. RNAcentral's name for it is "bacterial SSU rRNA". It matches the Rfam family "Bacterial small subunit ribosomal RNA", at positions 355 to 786 of the family's 1533-position model. The record is from RNAcentral.
UGGGGAAUAUUGCACAAUGGAGGGAACUCUGAUGCAGCGACGCCGCGUGAGUGAAGAAGUAUUUCGGUAUGUAAAGCUCUAUCAGCAGGGAAGAGAAUGACGGUACCUGACUAAGAAGCACCGGCUAAAUACGUGCCAGCAGCCGCGGUAAUACGUAUGGUGCAAGCGUUAUCCGGAUUUACUGGGUGUAAAGGGAGCGCAGGUGGCAUGGCAAGCCAGAAGUGAAAGCCCGGGGCUUAACCGCGGGACUGCUUUGGAAACUGUGGAUCUAGAGUGCCGGAGAGGUAAGCGGAAUUCCUAGUGUAGCGGUGAAAUGCGUAGAUAUUAGGAGGAACACCAGUGGCGAAGGCGGCUUACUGGACGGUAACUGACGUUGAGGCUCGAAAGCGUGGGGAGCAAACAGGAUUAGAUACC